Molecule: ribosomal RNA, 558 nt
Filed under: Saccharomyces sp.
Lineage: Eukaryota; Fungi; Ascomycota; Saccharomycetes; Saccharomycetales; Saccharomycetaceae
Description: partial large subunit ribosomal RNA
Rfam family: Eukaryotic large subunit ribosomal RNA
Source: RNAcentral
ACGGCGAGUGAAGCGGCAAAAGCUCAAAUUUGAAAUCUGGUACCUUUGGUGCCCGAGUUGUAAUUUGGAGAGGGCAACUUUGGGACCGUUCCUUGUCUAUGUUCCUUGGAACAGGACGUCAUAGAGGGUGAGAAUCCCGUGUGGCGAGGAGUGCGGUUCUAUGUAAAGUGCCUUCGAAGAGUCGAGUUGUUUGGGAAUGCAGCUCUAAGUGGGUGGUAAAUUCCAUCUAAAGCUAAAUAUUGGCGAGAGACCGAUAGCGAACAAGUACAGUGAUGGAAAGAUGAAAAGAACUUUGAAAAGAGAGUGAAAAAGUACGUGAAAUUGUUGAAAGGGAAGGGCAUUUGAUCAGACAUGGUGUUUUGCGCCCUCUGCUCCUUGUGGGUGGGGGAAUCUCGCAGUUCACUGGGCCAGCAUCAGUUUUGGUGGCAGGAUAAAUCCGUAGGAAUGUAACUUGCUUCGGGAAGUAUUAUAGCCUAUGGGAAUACUGCCAGCUGGGACUGAGGACUGCGACGUAAGUCAAGGAUGCUGGCAUAAUGGUUAUAUGCCGCCCGUCUUGAA